This 439-nucleotide ribosomal RNA is filed under the name uncultured bacterium. Its description in RNAcentral is "partial 16S ribosomal RNA". It matches the Rfam family "Bacterial small subunit ribosomal RNA", at positions 338 to 795 of the family's 1533-position model. The record is from RNAcentral.
CCUACGGGCGGCAGCAGUGGGGGAUAUUGCACAAUGGGGGAAACCCUGAUGCAGCGACGCCGCGUGGGUGAAGAAGCGCCUCGGCGCGUAAAGCCCUGUCAGCCGGGAAGAAAAUGACGGUACCUGAAGAAGAAGCCCCGGCUAACUACGUGCCAGCAGCCGCGGUAAUACGUAGGGGGCAAGCGUUAUCCGGAUUUACUGGGUGUAAAGGGGGCGCAGACGGAGUUGCAAGCCAGGAGUGAAAGCCCGGGGCCCAACCCCGGGACGGCUCUUGGAACUGCGUGGCUAGAGUGCAGGAGGGGCAGGCGAAAGUCCUGGUGUGGCGGUGAAAUGCGUAGAUAUCAGGAGGAACACCGGUGGCGAAGGCGGCCUGCUGGACUGCAACUGACGUUGAGGCCCGAAAGCGUGGGGAGCAAACAGGAUUAGAUACCCGGUAGUC